GACGAACGCUUGCGGCGUGCCUAAGAAAUGCAAGUCGAGCGGAGGGAGCAAUCCCUUAGCGGCGAACGGUCGCGUAACACGUAAGCAACCUGCCCGAAAGACCGGGACAACAGUUCGAAAGGGCUGCUAAUACCGGAUGUGGCCGAAGGAAGGAUUCUUCUUUCGUCUAAAUCAUUUAUGGCUUUCGGAGGGGCUUGCGGCCUAUCAGCUAGAUGGCGGGGUAACGGCUCACCAUGGCGACGACGGGUAGCUGGUCUGAGAGGAUGGUCAGCCGGACUGGGAC
RNAcentral lists this ribosomal RNA (283 nucleotides) under uncultured bacterium. RNAcentral's name for it is "partial 16S ribosomal RNA". It matches the Rfam family "Bacterial small subunit ribosomal RNA", at positions 28 to 319 of the family's 1533-position model. The record is from RNAcentral.